This 550-nucleotide ribosomal RNA is filed under the name uncultured bacterium. RNAcentral's name for it is "bacterial SSU rRNA". It matches the Rfam family "Bacterial small subunit ribosomal RNA", at positions 355 to 896 of the family's 1533-position model. The record is from RNAcentral.
UAGGGAAUCUUCGGCAAUGGACGGAAGUCUGACCGAGCAACGCCGCGUGAGUGAAGAAGGUUUUCGGAUCGUAAAGCUCUGUUGUAAGAGAAGAACGAGUGUGAGAGUGGAAAGUUCACACUGUGACGGUAUCUUACCAGAAAGGGACGGCUAACUACGUGCCAGCAGCCGCGGUAAUACGUAGGUCCCGAGCGUUGUCCGGAUUUAUUGGGCGUAAAGCGAGCGCAGGCGGUUAGAUAAGUCUGAAGUUAAAGGCUGUGGCUUAACCAUAGUAGGCUUUGGAAACUGUUUAACUUGAGUGCAAGAGGGGAGAGUGGAAUUCCAUGUGUAGCGGUGAAAUGCGUAGAUAUAUGGAGGAACACCGGUGGCGAAAGCGGCUCUCUGGCUUGUAACUGACGCUGAGGCUCGAAAGCGUGGGGAGCAAACAGGAUUAGAUACCCUGGUAGUCCACGCUGUAAACGAUGAGUGCUAGGUGUUAGACCCUUUCCGGGGUUCAGUGCCGUAGCUAACGCAUUAAGCACUCCGCCUGGGGAGUACGACCGCAAGGUUG